RNAcentral lists this long non-coding RNA (393 nucleotides) under Canis lupus familiaris (dog). RNAcentral describes it as "lncRNA (ENSCAFG00030022817.1)". The record is from RNAcentral. Lineage: Eukaryota; Metazoa; Chordata; Mammalia; Carnivora; Canidae.
AUGACGUCAGUGAGGCAAGAGCAUCUCCAAGUCGUGGCGGGACCCCCUCCUGGGAGGGGGGGGAUGCUGGGGCGGCAGCUCCAGGUCAAGGCCAUGGCACUUCCAAGGAGGAGAGUAAAUCAGCAUCUAUUCAUUCCUUCUCUUUUGAACUCCUUCGGGCCUACGAUUGAGACGCUGUUGCUGAACAGCGGAGCUCUCCAAGCAGGAAGAGGCAUCGUCAGCGUGGUCUUCAUCAUCAUCGUCCUCAUCGCUAGCGCCAGCAGACUGAGGAGACCCACCAGACCACUGAGUGCUCCUGGGCAUCACUUACCACGACAAACAUUGCACGCGGCUAAGGAACACGUUCUUUACCCCCAUUUAAUAGAUUAGGAAACCGAAGCUUAGAAUCCCAUG